Molecule: ribosomal RNA, 229 nt
Filed under: uncultured bacterium
Lineage: Bacteria
Description: partial 16S ribosomal RNA
Rfam family: Bacterial small subunit ribosomal RNA
Source: RNAcentral
UGCGUAGGCGGAUUAAUAAGUCAGUGGUGAAAUCUCUCGGCUCAACCGGGAAACUGCCAUUGAUACUGUUAAUCUUGAGUUCGGUUGAGGUAGGCGGAAUGUGUAAUGUAGCGGUGAAAUGCUUAGAUAUUACACAGAACACCAAUUGCGUAGGCAGCUUACUAGACCGACACUGACGCCGAGGCACGAAAGCGUGGGUAGCGAACAGGAUUAGAUACCCUGGUAGUCC